AACGAACGCUGGCGGCAUGCCUAACACAUGCAAGUCGAACGAGACCUUCGGGUCUAGUGGCGCACGGGUGCGUAACGCGUGGGAACCUGCCCUUAGGUUCGGAAUAACUCCCCGAAAGGGGUGCUAAUACCGGAUAAUGUCUUCGGACCAAAGAUUUAUCGCCUUUGGAUGGGCCCGCGUUGGAUUAGCUAGUUGGUAGGGUAAAAGCCUACCAAGGCGACGAUCCAUAGCUGGUCUGAGAGGCUGAUCAGCCACACUGGGACUGAGACACGGCCCAGACUCCUACGGGAAGCAGCAGUGGGGAAUAUUGGACCAUGGGCGAAAGCCUGAUCCAGCAAUGCCGCGUGAGUGAUGAAGGCCUUAGGGUUGUAAAGCUCUUUUACCCGUGAUGAUAAUGACAGUACCGGGAGAAUAAGCUCCGGCUAACUCCGUG
Molecule: ribosomal RNA, 433 nt
Filed under: uncultured bacterium
Lineage: Bacteria
Description: partial 16S ribosomal RNA
Rfam family: Bacterial small subunit ribosomal RNA
Source: RNAcentral